RNAcentral lists this transfer RNA (71 nucleotides) under Candidatus Gottesmanbacteria bacterium. RNAcentral describes it as "tRNA-Gly". It matches the Rfam family "tRNA". From Rfam's summary of the family: Transfer RNA (tRNA) molecules are approximately 80 nucleotides in length. Their secondary structure includes four short double-helical elements and three loops (D, anti-codon, and T loops). The record is from RNAcentral. Lineage: Bacteria; Candidatus Gottesmaniibacteriota.
GCGGGCGUAGUACACCGGUAGUAUGUAUCCUUCCCAAGGAUAAGAAGAGGGUCCGAUUCCCUUCGCCCGCU